Molecule: ribosomal RNA, 215 nt
Filed under: Vibrio splendidus
Lineage: Bacteria; Pseudomonadati; Pseudomonadota; Gammaproteobacteria; Vibrionales; Vibrionaceae
Description: partial 16S ribosomal RNA
Rfam family: Bacterial small subunit ribosomal RNA
Source: RNAcentral
UGAAGUCGGAAUCGCUAGUAAUCGUGAAUCAGAAUGUCACGGUGAAUACGUUCCCGGGCCUUGUACACACCGCCCGUCACACCAUGGGAGUGGGCUGCAAAAGAAGUGGGUAGUUUAACCUUUCGGGGAGGACGCUCACCACUUUGUGGUUCAUGACUGGGGUGAAGUCGUAACAAGGUAGCCCUAGGGGAACCUGGGGCUGGAUCACCUCCUUA